CUUCUUCCUUCUUCAUAUCACUCCGCUAUCCGUCUCAUGACAUUUGUUCACUGAUGAGCAUGCGGUGCCAUCAACAGUGCCAACUUAGAUAGAACUUGAAGUAAGUCCACUUUUGCACGUGCUGCCACUGUUUAAAACCCGGAGUGUUGUCAUUUCAUGUGCGUUGAUGAGAGUGAGAGUGCGUUUUGAAUCUCUUCUGCUUUUAUCACUGGGAGACAUACUCUCUUUUCUUAGACACGUACAGGUAAAGAAGAUGAGCAGCAAGUAAAAAAUCCCGAGGCAAGUCAGCAUGAAAAGCUCAGUCUUGUAUUUUUUCAGUUUUUCAUCUUCUAUUCUAGGGCAACCUGUUACUUUUAAUGUGAUGAUGCCACUCAGGUUGUGGUCUCC
RNAcentral lists this long non-coding RNA (387 nucleotides) under Gallus gallus (chicken). The record is from RNAcentral. Lineage: Eukaryota; Metazoa; Chordata; Aves; Galliformes; Phasianidae.